UACGGAGGGAGCUAGCGUUGUUCGGAAUUACUGGGCGUAAAGCGCACGUAGGCGGCUUUGUAAGUUAGAGGUGAAAGCCCGGGGCUCAACUCCGGAACUGCCUUUAAGACUGCAUCGCUUGAAUCCGGGAGAGGUGAGUGGAAUUCCGAGUGUAGAGGUGAAAUUCGUAGAUAUUAGGAAGAACACCAGUGGCGAAGGCGGCUCACUGGUCCGGUACUGACGCUGAGGUGCGAAAGCGUGGGGAGCAAACAGG
This 253-nucleotide ribosomal RNA is filed under the name uncultured bacterium. RNAcentral describes it as "partial 16S ribosomal RNA". It matches the Rfam family "Bacterial small subunit ribosomal RNA", at positions 524 to 776 of the family's 1533-position model. The record is from RNAcentral.